Molecule: ribosomal RNA, 705 nt
Filed under: Vitex quinata
Lineage: Eukaryota; Viridiplantae; Streptophyta; Magnoliopsida; Lamiales; Lamiaceae
Description: eukaryotic LSU rRNA
Source: RNAcentral
AUUUAGAGGAAGGAGAAGUCGUAACAAGGUUUCCGUAGGUGAACCUGCGGAAGGAUCAUUGUCGAAACCUGCAAAGCAGACCGCGAACACGUGUUUAACCACAAUGGGGACGUGGCGCGGGGGCGAGCGUGCCUCCCCUCUCGUCGCGUUCCCACCCCCGCCUGCGCGGGCGCCUGGCGCCUCGCGUCGUGCGGGCUAACGAACCCCGGCGCGGCACGCGCCAAGGAAAAYGAAAAYGAAGCGGUCGCCGCCCGACGCCCCGUUYGCGGAGCGCGCGGGCGGACGGUGCGCCGAACUAAUGUCAAAACGACUCUCGGCAACGGAUAUCUCGGCUCUCGCAUCGAUGAAGAACGUAGCGAAAUGCGAUACUUGGUGUGAAUUGCAGAAUCCCGUGAACCAUCGAGUCUUUGAACGCAAGUUGCGCCCGAAGCCAUUAGGCCGAGGGCACGUCUGCCUGGGCGUCACGCAUCGCGUCGCCCCCCCACCCGCGCACUGCGCUCGCGAUGGGGGGGCGGAGACUGGCCUCCCGUGCCUCUCGGUGCGGCCGGCCCAAAUGCGAUCCCUCGGCGACGCACGUCGCGACCAGUGGUGGUUGAAUCUCAACUCGCGUGCUGUCGUGAUGCGUCGCCCGAAGCGGAAUCAACGAUGACCCAACGGCGCCURGCGCCUCCGACCGCGACCCCAGGUCAGGCGGGAUUACCCGCU